UCACACUUAAGUUAAUAUAAACUAUUAGCUUGUGGAGCUAUAAAUGCAUUUUUUUUUGCAGUGUGAA
This 67-nucleotide transfer RNA is filed under the name Capsaloides cristatus. RNAcentral's name for it is "tRNA-His". Lineage: Eukaryota; Metazoa; Platyhelminthes; Monogenea; Capsalidea; Capsalidae. The record is from RNAcentral.